RNAcentral lists this ribosomal RNA (253 nucleotides) under uncultured bacterium. RNAcentral describes it as "partial 16S ribosomal RNA". It matches the Rfam family "Bacterial small subunit ribosomal RNA", at positions 524 to 776 of the family's 1533-position model. The record is from RNAcentral.
UACGUAGGUGGCAAGCGUUGUCCGGAUUUACUGGGCGUAAAGAGCGCGCAGGCGGUCGUUCAAGUCGCGUGUGAAAGCCCCCGGCUCAACUGGGGAGGGUCACGCGAUACUGAUCGACUCGAAGGCAGGAGAGGGUAGUGGAAUUCCCGGUGUAGUGGUGAAAUGCGUAGAUAUCGGGAGGAACACCAGUGGCGAAGGCGGCGACCUGGGACAAUACUGACACUGAGGUGCGAAAGCGUGGGGAGCAAACAGG